This 330-nucleotide ribosomal RNA is filed under the name Scudderia furcata. RNAcentral describes it as "eukaryotic LSU rRNA". It matches the Rfam family "Eukaryotic large subunit ribosomal RNA", at positions 657 to 951 of the family's 3401-position model. The record is from RNAcentral. Lineage: Eukaryota; Metazoa; Arthropoda; Insecta; Orthoptera; Tettigoniidae.
AAACACGGACCAAGGAGUCUAACAUGUGCGCGAGUCAUUGGGUUGACACUAAACCUAAAGGCGCAAUGAANGUGAAGGUCCCGCCUUGUGCGGACCGAGGGAAGAUGGGGCGUGCUCCUGCGCGACCCCCGCAUUCCCGGGGCGUCUCGUUCUCAUUGCGAGUUGAGGCGCACCCAGAGCGUACACGUUGGGACCCGAAAGAUGGUGAACUAUGCCUGGCCAGGACGAAGUCAGGGGAAACCCUGAUGGAGGUCCGUAGCGAUUCUGACGUGCAAAUCGAUCGUCGGAGCUGGGUAUAGGGGCGAAAGACUAAUCGAACCAUCUAGUAGC